RNAcentral lists this non-coding RNA (27 nucleotides) under Cricetulus griseus (Chinese hamster). The record is from RNAcentral. Lineage: Eukaryota; Metazoa; Chordata; Mammalia; Rodentia; Cricetidae.
UUGGACCUAGAUGGCUGGAGGAAUCGG